This 78-nucleotide microRNA precursor is filed under the name Mustela putorius furo (domestic ferret). RNAcentral describes it as "miRNA (ENSMPUG00000021054.1)". The record is from RNAcentral. Lineage: Eukaryota; Metazoa; Chordata; Mammalia; Carnivora; Mustelidae.
UAUAUAUGUAUGUAUGUAUGUAUGUAUGUGUAUGUGUAUACACACACACACACAUACACACACACACACACACACACA